Long non-coding RNA from Raphanus sativus (radish), 1795 nucleotides. RefSeq lists it as uncharacterized. The transcript has 3 exons. Lineage: Eukaryota; Viridiplantae; Streptophyta; Magnoliopsida; Brassicales; Brassicaceae. The record is from RefSeq and is a predicted model, not a curated record.
UUUGACUAUGUAUCCGGCCCGAUGGAAGAAACGAAGUUCGUCUCUCCUCUGGGUGCGACGGCAACUUGGUGACCUUUGCGCUUCAUCUCGCUAGCUGAAACGGUCCGAGUGAUGGUGUGCAUUCAAUUCAUCCACUUUCUCCUUAUAAAUGAAGAUUUCUCGCCUCCCCCAUUAACCGAAGCUACUGUAUAUAUACGGGGUCAAGGUUCUCAAGAGAAAUUACAUAGCUUCUUCGAACAGAGAAAUUCAUCUCAAGGGAAACAGAGGAGACGGAGAGCAUCACCGGUGUCGUCUUCUUCCACAUGCGGUGGCAAAAUCCAGAUCUUUGAUUGCCGUUAAAAUCCCAGGUAUGACCAUCCAAUCGUACGUUGAGAGAACAAUGGUUUCUAAUAUUGUUUUCUUAUAUGUUUCCAGUAAUUACAGAAAUUCGUAUUUGGCAAAAUAGGUGGACUAGAGAGAGACAUAGGAUUUUAUCAGAAUAGAGUUAGAGUUUCUGUUUUUGAUGGAAUUUAAUAGAAUUGAUGUGGUUUGAUCAAUAGAAAGAAGAUUACAAGCUGAGUCUUGCAGAUUUCAGUCGUAUGUAUAGAUCAUACUUGCAUUUCACCUUUGAAAACCUUUGGAGUUGUUCUCAUCACAAUGAGUUCUAUAAAGUUUCGUACUUUACCUUAACCACUUUGCAAAUAUUAACAUUCUAUAUUGUGCAAUACUUUUACCUAUAAGAGCGAUUUUUCUUGCAUGUAUACCGAGUUAGAUUAUACUCUUGGAUUUAUUUGAUUUCAUUUAAGGUGUUUGUUUCUGCAUUGAUUUUCCUAAUUCUUAUAGUCCACUUUGGUCCAAGAUUCUGCCGGGGCUCAUUGACUCAAAACUUUAAAGCACCUGCUGAAGGAAGGUGCCAUCUGUGAGAUAAGCGUAUUCAACUUCACACGAAGUAACGACCAUUUCAAAUUCACUGACUCACCAGUUUCCCUUCGCUUCAACAACCAGACCAAAUUUGUGGAGCUUAUGGAGACUACUGUCUUUAUUCUACAGAAAAGUUCAGAAAUUUUUCGAGUUGUUUGUGGCAUCAGGAACACCUACAACGAAGAAAAUCAGGCCAUCAAAUGUAUUAUUCAAUAACCGACACUUCAUGGUGACGAAGGAAAGCUUCCAGCAAAUCAAUUUCUCAUUCUUGGAAAAUUACGAAGAUCUUUUCUUCUUGACUUGUAUAUCUGUUGUUUCAUUCUUAAGACGCUUGGAGAACACAUAGCUAGCGAGACAAAUACGGAACCAAGAUUUAGACACUAUACAUACCUUAUGUUUUGUAUCCAUCCAUUCUCUGCUCUACAAACCUGGCCUUACAUUUAUAGCUUGAAUUGCCGUUUGUCAGAUUCACUAAGAUCCACAAACACUUCUUCAUUACUAAAGUUAAUUUGAUUAAACUUAAAAUUGUAAAUACACCCCAAUUUACCGACAAUUCUGAUGGUAAAUAAACAACAACAUCAAGUGUAUACGUUUGAACAUUAAUACUUUAUUAUUCUAGCACGAAGCUUCUCUGAAAGCCUUCACAAGAGGCUCAAAAACAUCUCUCUGUUAUAUCAGUGAGAAAGGUUGAAAAAUCUGCAGCAACUACCUGUAUGAAAGCUAAUAUAGAGAAGAAGAAAUUUGAAGCAGUGGAAGUUCAGAAAGUUGAAGAGGUAUUCUUUUCAGAAUUUUAAUAUUUGCAGCUUGGAUUUUGAAAACUGAGAUUAUGCUUAAUGACUUAUGUGGGAAAUCACGUAAGAGAACAAAGAUUUAUUUUUCUACACAGUCAGCUAGA